This is a non-coding RNA of Pelobates cultripes (western spadefoot toad), 270 nucleotides long. NCBI's taxonomy places the organism in Eukaryota, Metazoa, Chordata, Amphibia, Anura, Pelobatidae. The record is from the annotation of a GenBank genome assembly.
AUAAAAUCCAGUCUGCUGCUGCUGGCUUUGCCCCUGAUCUGCCUCCUUGGCUGACAUCAUCAGAUGUGGUAUUCUGAGCCAAUCACAAUCCUUUCCCAUAGUAAAGCAUUGGAUUGGCUGAGCUUGUCAAGGAAGCAGAUCAGGGCCAGUACAAGCCAAAACACAGCCCUGGCCAAUCAGCAUCUCCUCAUAGUGUCACUGAAUCAGUGCAGCUCUAUGAGGAAAGUUCAGUGUCUCCAUGCAGAGGGUGGAGACACUGAAUGACUGUAC